UACGGAGGAUGCGAGCGUUAUCCGGAUUUAUUGGGUUUAAAGGGUGCGCAGGCGGGAUUUUAAGUCAGCGGUGAAAUCUAGUGGCUCAACCACUAACUUGCCAUUGAAACUGAAGUUCUUGAGUAUAGACGAGGUAGGCGGAAUUCGUUGUGUAGCGGUGAAAUGCAUAGAUAUAACGAGGAACCCCGAUUGCGUAGGCAGCUUACCAGACUAUAACUGACGCUCAUGCACGAAAGUGUGGGUAUCAAAC
This 250-nucleotide ribosomal RNA is filed under the name uncultured bacterium. RNAcentral's name for it is "partial 16S ribosomal RNA". It matches the Rfam family "Bacterial small subunit ribosomal RNA", at positions 524 to 773 of the family's 1533-position model. The record is from RNAcentral.